This 490-nucleotide ribosomal RNA is filed under the name uncultured Arcobacter sp. RNAcentral describes it as "bacterial SSU rRNA". It matches the Rfam family "Bacterial small subunit ribosomal RNA", at positions 894 to 1382 of the family's 1533-position model. The record is from RNAcentral. Lineage: Bacteria; Pseudomonadati; Campylobacterota; Epsilonproteobacteria; Campylobacterales; Arcobacteraceae.
CAGAAACUCAAAGGAAUUGACGGGACCCGCACAAGCGGUGGAGCAUGUGGUUUAAUUCGACGAUACGCGAAGAACCUUACCUGGCCUUGACAUACUAAAAAGCUUUAAGAGAUUAGAGUGUGCUAGCUUGCUAGAAUUUAGAUACAGGUGCUGCACGGCUGUCGUCAGCUCGUGUCGUGAGAUGUUGGGUUAAGUCCCGCAACGAGCGCAACCCUCGUGUUUAGUUGCUAACAGUUCGGCUGAGAACUCUAAACAGACUGCCUACGCAAGUAGGAGGAAGGUGAGGACGACGUCAAGUCAUCAUGGCCCUUACGGCCAGGGCUACACACGUGCUACAAUGGGGUAUACAAAGAGCAGCGAUACGGUGACGUGGAGCAAAUCUAGAAAAUGCCUCUCAGUUCGGAUUGUAGUCUGCAACUCGACUACAUGAAGUUGGAAUCGCUAGUAAUCGUAGAUCAGCAAUGCUACGGUGAAUACGUUCCCGGGUCUU